Molecule: non-coding RNA, 30 nt
Filed under: Mus musculus (house mouse)
Lineage: Eukaryota; Metazoa; Chordata; Mammalia; Rodentia; Muridae
Source: RNAcentral
UUACGUCUUUCUAGUGAGCCGUUGGAUUGC